CUGGAAGUGCCAAGCCUGAAGUGGUAACACACUUGGUAACUAUUGGGGAGGCAGGUAGCCUAGUGGUUAGAGUGGGGAGGCGGCAGGUAGCCUAGUGGUUAGAGUGGAGGGGCGGCAGGUAGCCUAGUGGUUAGAGUGGAGGGGCGGCAGGUAGCCUAGUGGUUAGAGUGGGGAGGCGGCAGGUAGCCUAGUGGUUAGAGUGGAGGGGCGGCAGGUAGCCUAGUGGUUAGAGUGGGGGGCGGCAGGUAGCCUAGUGGUUAGAGUGGGGGGGGGCAGCC
Oncorhynchus tshawytscha (Chinook salmon) is the source of this 278-nucleotide long non-coding RNA. The record is from Ensembl. NCBI's taxonomy places the organism in Eukaryota, Metazoa, Chordata, Actinopteri, Salmoniformes, Salmonidae.